AAUUGGAAAAAAUAGAAUUUGGGAAACGUUCUUCUUUCGCGUUCCUCAUUAGAAAAUCCAUUUAGGUUUUCUUUGACUAAAGUCAUUCUUCUCCAUCAGUAGUGCCUCUAUUCUGGUUUCUGCUUCUUCGGUGCUUCAAUCAGUGCUUCCAUCGUUGGUGCCGCUCCCAAUCUCGUCUCUCGUUUGUGAGUUUGAGUGGUUGUGGAGUUGAGGGUUGUGGUCUCUGGUUUACGUUUUGACUUGUGUCGCUUCAGUGGUGUAUGACUUUGAGGAGAAGCAUGGACAUGGAGCAUAUAAAUACAUGUUUUGAUGAUAUCAAAUUUCAUGAAGAACAUGACAAUGUAGAAGAAGAAUUAAAGAGUAGUAAUACAUUGACACGCCUAUGUGUCAUUAAAGAGUAGUAAUACAUUGACACGCCUACGUGUCAUACAACAGAGUAGUGUAGCUGGAUCCUCUUGAAAUUCUAAAUUUGUAAUCUGUUUUAAAUUUAAUUUUCUUUUAUUUUCUUGUGAGUUAUUGUUAUAAUUCUAUCAUGAGUUCUUUUGUCAAAAAGGGUUAUUUCACUGAGGCUUGGGCUGUUGUGGCUGAAAUGGGAGAAAAAUUUUAUCAUACUGAUAUAGCUACAUACAAUAUGAUACUUCAAGGUUUAGGAAAGAUGGGACGAUCUGAUCUAGUGUUUUUCUUGAUCCUUCUUGAAAUUCUAGCAGUCUAUGAAAUUGGAAUCUGUAAUUUAGUUUUUGCAUUAUCUGAAUUGUGUUGUGAUCAUAGCUGGUGUACUUCACGAUCAAUUUUGUUGUA
Long non-coding RNA from Vigna angularis (adzuki bean), 798 nucleotides. RefSeq lists it as uncharacterized. The transcript has 3 exons. Lineage: Eukaryota; Viridiplantae; Streptophyta; Magnoliopsida; Fabales; Fabaceae. The record is from RefSeq and is a predicted model, not a curated record.